ACUCCUACGGGAGGCAGCAGUGGGGAAUAUUGCACAAUGGGCGCAAGCCUGAUGCAGCCAUGCCGCGUGUAUGAAGAAGGCCUUCGGGUUGUAAAGUACUUUCAGCAGUGAGGAAGGUGGAUAUGUUAAUAGCAUAUUCUAUUUGUACGUUAGCUGCAGAAGAAGCACCGGCUAACUCCGUGCCAGCAGCCGCGGUAAUACGGAGGGUGCGAGCGUUAAUCGGAAUUACUGGGCGUAAAGCGCAUGCAGGUGGUUUGUUAAGUCAGAUGUGAAAGCCCGGGGCUCAACCUCGGAAUUGCAUUUGAAACUGGCAAACUAGAGUACUGUAGAGGGGGUAGAAUUUCAGGUGUAGCGGUGAAAUGCGUAGAGAUCUGAAGGAAUACCGGUGGCGAAGGCGGCCCCUGGACAGAUACUGACACUCAGAUGCGAAAGCGUGGGAGCAAACAGGAUUAGAU
This 455-nucleotide ribosomal RNA is filed under the name uncultured bacterium. RNAcentral's name for it is "bacterial SSU rRNA". It matches the Rfam family "Bacterial small subunit ribosomal RNA", at positions 335 to 783 of the family's 1533-position model. The record is from RNAcentral.